Triticum aestivum (bread wheat) is the source of this 125-nucleotide non-coding RNA. The record is from Rfam. NCBI's taxonomy places the organism in Eukaryota, Viridiplantae, Streptophyta, Magnoliopsida, Poales, Poaceae.
UGAAUACUCCCUCCGUCCAAAAUUACUUGUAGCACAAAUGGAUAAAAAUAGAUGUAUCUAGAACUAAAAUGUGUCUAGAUACAUUCAUUUCUCCGACAAAUAUUUCCGGACGGAGGGAAUAAUAA